CUGGAUGGAGGGCAAGGAGACCUCGGGGACAAGCCAGGGCCCCGGGAGAGCCGACAGAGCAGGGCUAGGGGCCUGGAGUAAUUUGCGGGACCACAGACGGAGGCAGAGUCCUCCCCCCACAGUGGAGUGGACAGACCAAUGGGGCACCAUGGACAGGUGGCAGGAAAGGCCACCCCUCCUCAGCCCUCCCCACCUACGCUGGGCCCUGACGGCACAGCCGUGUGCAGGGCAACGGCGGAGACCCCGCGUGCUGUGUGUGAGCGACUGGGUGGCCGCCUCUCUGGGGCCACUGGCAGCUGCAGGAGGCAGCCUGGGUCCCGGGCCUUGGUGGGCCCCGCGCUCUGCCUCCACCAGCGUGGGAGCAGCCUGGGGCACAAGCGCCAGCUCUUGGGCCUGCUUCCUCGGCCGUGGAGUGGAGAUGACCACCCGUGUCUCCCGGUGAGGCGGGCGCCGAGAGGCAGGCGUCGUGAGGACCCACAGACAGGCUGCCCCAGCCCGUGCCCCCACCCUCCCUGGAGACCCUGGGUGGGUCCCUUGAAGGCAGGGAUGUGCAUUUUCCCCACCGACUCGAGUGGGAGGCCCCGGCACUGGGUCACGCUCUCAAAUUCCUGUCACAUUUCCUCAUUCUGAAAAUUGGUCAAGGGUGGCGUGGCCUGAGAGAGCGGGCGAGGGCCUCGUGUCCACCCUGCCCCACUGCCCAGCUUCAGGCCUGACUCCGCCCAGAACCUGGCUGAUUGGAGAGCAAAUGGUGCCCAAGAAAGAAGGUUCCAGAAUCAGAGAAGACACCCGGGCAGCCCAGCCCAGCUGGGACCUGGACGCUGCUCUCUGGCAGCCCCUGUGGAAGGGCAGGACAUGCACUGUGAGCUCGGGGCAGGCCGGCUCCAGGGACACCACCGUCACCUGCGGGAGGAAAGCUCCCAACACCAUGUCCACAGGAACCUCAGAACGCAACCUUAUUGGACAUAGGGUUUUUGCAGAUGAAAAUGGUCAAGGCAAGAUGAGGUCAUCCUAACUGGGUUGUCCCUGAAUCUGACGUCACCCGGUGCCGAGGGCUGAAGCCAGCCCCAGGGUGUGGGGGUCCCUCCGGCAGCACCAGGACCAGUGUCCUUGUGCUGAGUCCCAGCACCUCUGGUGGCUUCUGGGCCGAUCCUCUCCUCAAGAAGCCAAGAGGGGCCCAUCCCAAUUCCAGGAGGGGACUGAACGGAGCAGAGAGAAGCCACAUUGGGGCCUCCAAGGUUCAAGUCCGUUUAGGCUGUUCCUGAGGCCGGCAGGGCCGUUACCUCACACGCAGGCCGAGCGGCCCCCAGCGAGGUGUGCGGGGUGCAAGUGCUCUCAUCUUCUCUCCCAUAAUGCACGUGGCCCUGGGCAGGGUGGGCACGCAGAAGGCUCUGGCCCCUGCUUCAGUCAGCCCAGGAAGAAGGUGGCCAGGCUCAGCACACAAGGCCUCCGGGCCUUGAAAGGGACCCAGACGGCACCAGCGCCAGCGCCCACCUGCCCUGAAGCCGGGAGCUCGCACAUGGCGAGGUGGCUGCCCUGGCCAGGCGCCUCGCUCACGUCAGCCGUGAGUCCAGGCCGCGCCCUCAGCCUCAGAAGUCCCCGAUGCCCCCAGUGCCCCCGACUCCCAGCUCCGAGAGGGAGGAGGGGUGUCCUGCUCAGGACAGAGAGAGAAACCAAGACGACCAGCCGGGCGGAGCACCUGGGCAUCUCGCAGCCCUGCCCGGCUGGGCAUCGUCACCACCCAGGAUGCCCCUACCUGUGUCCAGGCUCAGUCCAGGCGGCAGGCUGCAGAGACGGGGAAGGACCUGGGACAUUCCCCCACUCAGGGACUUUCCUGCCGAUGUCAUAAUGUGGCAUGGCACCUUUCACGCUGGGCUGCUGCCUGAGAGUGUGGGCCAGCGAGCGUCUGCCGAGGGCGCCUGCUCCCCAGAGGCCCAGUGGUCCGCGUGGCUCCAGGAGGCCACCUCCACACUCCCCCGGGAGGGGGGGAAGUGGCACCACUGCCCCACCACUGAGGGCCACACCAGCUGCAAGGGAGUCUGGGAAACGAGGUCUUUGUUCAGGUAGCCAAGGGCCGGCCGAGCUCUGCUGCUGUUAAGGGAGGACAAACCGAGGGAGGAGCAGGAGCUGUGGCCCCCGCUGGCCCCAGGAGCCAGGAAGAGCUUGAGGGGCCCACCCUGGCACACCCCCCCCACGCUCGCCCCGUGGGCAGCCUCAGACUACAGGGUCCACUCUCAAGCACCUGCCCCAGGUCCGGCAACCUGCAGCUGCGGGACCUCGGGACGGAGCUCAGACGGGCGCAGAGGGCGGAUCGUGUUGCCCCCUGGAGACGCGUGGCCGGGACGGGAGGCUCCAGACCCAGACGCCGGGAGGGUAAGCCUGAAGCCACUGAAUCUCACACGUCCACAUGGUGAUGAUGGCAGGCGUUACAGGACACACACUGAACCACCAUCCUGGUGGACAGGAGGAGGCUCGGCCCCCAGGGCUGUGCAGCGAGGGCAGGGGUCGCAGUGGGCAGCUGGUGGCCGGCAGGAGAGUAGGGAGGGUGGGAAGGCCCAGGGGACAGGAGGCUGCAGCAGAGAAGGGGCAAGUCCAGCCUUGCUGGAUGAGGGCCCAUUUCACAGAUGAGGACACGGGGCUCCAGAGCCUUGGGGUCCCCAAAUACUGGGAGCAGCAGUGGCAGUUUGGCAGAUUCCCAGAUCUCCAUGGUCCUAAGGCCGUCUCCAGGCGUCAGGAGAGCAAGGGUGUGUGUGGGGUCGGGGGUCAGCUCUCUGCAGCGGCUCCUGGCAGCGCUACCAUGGGGCUGGGUAGGGAGGGAAAGGAGCCCGUCAGCACAGAUGCCACAUGCUAGGGCCUCGCCACUCCGGGGCAUUCGCAGACUUGCCCAAUGCAAAUCAGAGCCCAGUCCCCCUCACCUGGGGCGCGGGCCGUCUGGGGCGGCUGUGAGUCUCAGGGCUGGUCACCUGAGCUCGGCAGCG
This 2975-nucleotide long non-coding RNA is filed under the name Marmota monax (woodchuck). The record is from RNAcentral. Lineage: Eukaryota; Metazoa; Chordata; Mammalia; Rodentia; Sciuridae.